Molecule: ribosomal RNA, 372 nt
Filed under: uncultured bacterium
Lineage: Bacteria
Description: bacterial SSU rRNA
Rfam family: Bacterial small subunit ribosomal RNA
Source: RNAcentral
AACGAACGCUGGCGGCAGGCUUAACACAUGCAAGUCGAACGGUUGUAGCAAUACAGCAGUGGCAGACGGGUGAGUAACACGUGGGAACCUUCCUAGGGGUACGGAACAACUCAGGGAAACUUGAGCUAAUACCGUAUACGUCCGUGAGGAGAAAGAUUUAUCGCCCUUAGACGGGCCCGCGUAGGAUUAGGUAGUUGGUGGGGUAAUGGCCUACCAAGCCUACGAUCCUUAGCUGAUCUGAGAGGANGAUCAGCCACACUGGGACUGAGACACGGCCCAGACUCCUACGGGAGGCAGCAGUGGGGAAUCUUGGACAAUGGGCGCAAGCCUGAUCCAGCCAUGCCGCGUGAGUGAAGAAGGCCUUGGUUGUAA